RNAcentral lists this ribosomal RNA (460 nucleotides) under uncultured bacterium. Its description in RNAcentral is "partial 16S ribosomal RNA". It matches the Rfam family "Bacterial small subunit ribosomal RNA", at positions 338 to 795 of the family's 1533-position model. The record is from RNAcentral.
CCUACGGGAGGCAGCAGUGAGGAAUAUUGGUCAAUGGACGAGAGUCUGAACCAGCCACGUAGCGUGAAGGAUGACUGCCCUAUGGGUUGUAAACUUCUUUUAUAAGGGAAUAAAACGAGGCACGUGUGCCUUUUUGCAUGUACUUUAUGAAUAAGGAUCGGCUAACUCCGUGCCCGCAGCCGCGGUAAUACGGAGGAUCCGAGCGUUAUCCGGAUUUAUUGGGUUUAAAGGGAGCGUAGAUGGGUUGUUAAGUCAGUUGUGAAAAUUUGCGGCUCAACCGUAAAAUUGCAAUUGAUACUGGCAGUCUUGAGUACAGGUGAGGUAGGCGGAAUUCGUGGUGUAGCGGUGAAAUGCUUAGAUAUCACGAAGAACCCCGAUUGCGAAGGCAGCUUACUAACCUGUGACUGACAUUGAUGCGCGAAAGUGUGGGUAUCAAACAGGAUUAGAUACCCGAGUAGUC